This 4735-nucleotide long non-coding RNA is filed under the name Triticum aestivum (bread wheat). RNAcentral describes it as "long non-coding RNA (TAES_LNC004238)". The record is from RNAcentral. Lineage: Eukaryota; Viridiplantae; Streptophyta; Magnoliopsida; Poales; Poaceae.
UUUUUUUAUAAAAGUAGGGAUACAAUCAUGAAUGGCAUGAAUAAUGAUGAAUAGAUCGUGUUUGCUAUUACUCAGGCACCUGAAAUUUUCUGUCCCAUCCAUUGAUUCAUUUUCUCCCUGUACAGGAACUAAUCAGUUAAUUGUGUGUGUCCGGAACGCCGCAGCCUCAAUCCACGAUCAUCUCUCAUGUGAAUUGUGUAGUGCGUUCGUGUUAAGUUGCCAUUGUCUGUUCACUGUGUGCGAUGUCAGUGUGUGUGCGCGCUUUUUGUAUGUGUGUGUACGUGACAUCGCGUGUGUGUUUGUCGUGCGCAAUGAUAAAGUGUUUUUUAGGAAAUAUCAAUGCCCCAAAUUCAUUCUAUCUUAAAAUAAUUCUGUUUUGUUUUUGUUUUUUUAUGUCAUUGUUCAUGGAUGCUUCAAUUAUUUAGUCGUAGGCUUUUCUCCUAUAUUUGUGCAUGCCGCGAUGCAUUUGAUGUUGCAAUGUAACACUGCUUAAUUUUCUGUUAGCAACUAAAAUGAAAUUCAUUUUCGUAAUUGACCUACCUAAAUUAAUAAAAAAAUGUCUUUUUUCGCCCAUGUGUAGUCGAAUUUUUUGGCCGUUGGGUUUUUUCUCCAUAUAUGCCCAAGUGAUAACAUAUUAGUGAUUGGGGCCAUCAUUAUUGGCCGCUUGAGAGGAAGCUAUGCGCCCGUUUCUUCGUCUUAAAAGAAGAAGAAAAGAAGAAGAAAACCUCACCUCAAUCUCAAAAAAUAAUUUAAUAAAAAUUCUUGCAUCGCGUGGUCCCAUCCAUCUAAAAAAAUCAUAGGAAAACUUUUCUCAAAAAAAAGGAAAAAAAUCCCACUUCAUCUUCCAAAAUUAGUCUCUAGUAAAAAUCAAAAACUUUCUCACUGCAGCCAACAAGCAUGCGCCACUUGGCAUAGCUGGUUGGCCGGCCUUCUCGUGCGCCUUAAUGGGUUUAAUUGAUAUCGUAACUACGUGAUACAGUUUCUAAAAAAAAUGUGACACUAAUUGAUUUUUUUUUGCUAGAAAACUAAAAUGGUUGUUUUUCUUGUUUUGAUCUAUUUUGAAUCAUCAUCAUUAUUAUUAUUAUAUUUGCACUAGUUUACCCUUGUUCUUGCAUAAUAAUAUUAUAAUUAUGAGUUUUGCUUAUUUUUGUGCAAGUUUUUAAUACAUUUUGAAUUCACUUUAUAAGAAAAAAGUUUGACAAGAACUCUUUAUGAUUGUCCAUGUUAGGCAUAUUUGCAUAAUACUCCUUCCUUUUCUUUUUACUACCCAUAUUCGUUUUAUCUUAAGUCAACUUUUUAAAAUAUAUCAACCUUAUAGAAAAGGAUAUUGACAUUCACAAUACCAAGUUUUUCUUCCAUUUUCUUUCUUCUUUAGAAUAAUACCAAUGCACCUAAUUCAUUCUUCCUUCGAUUUUUUUGUUGUUUUUGCUUUUAUGUUCUACUCCCUCCGUCCCAAAGUAAGUGCCCCAACCUUAGUACAACUUUAUACUAAAGUUAUAAUAAGGUUGAGACACUUAUUUUGGGACGGAGGGAGUAUUUGUUAAUUUUUAGUAUCUUUUUAAUUUUUACUAGCAACAUAUUUUCUUUAAGCAGGUCAUUGUGUUGAUCUUAAUUCCACACCUCAAAGCCCGUGGUGUAAGAAUAUUGUAUAAGUCUAAUGUGACCAAUGUAUUUUUUGUGAUUUUAUUUAAAAAAUUAACGUAAUGGUUGUUGAAAUAAAAGAGUAUAAUAGAUGUUUUAGUUCACACUUUUAUGUGCAAGUUUACACUUGUUCUUGCACUAGUUUACACUUGUUCUUUCACAAUACUGAAAUGUGCAAGUUUUGCAUAUUUUGUGUGCAAGUUUUUAAUAUAUUUUGAAUCCUCUCUAUAUGAAAAGUCUUUAUGAUUGUCCAUCUUAGGCAUAUUUGCAUAAUACCACUUUCUUUUUCUUUUUACUACCCAUAUUAUUUUUGUCUUAAGUAAAAAAAUCAAGCUUAUAAAAAAGAAUACUUACAUUCACAAUGCCAAGUUUCUAUUUCAUGUUCUUUCUUCUUUAGGGUAAUACCAAUGCCCACAAUUCAUUUUACCUUAGAAUGUUUUUUAUUUUAGUAUUUUUUGUGUUUAAGUUUAAGCUUAUUUUUUUAUUACAACGAAUUUUAUUUAACCAGGCCGUUUUGUUGAUCUUAAUUCCACACCUUAUAGCCCGUAGUGUAAGAAUAUUGUGGAAAUUCGAUAUGACCAAUGUAAUUUAUUGUGUGGUUCUAAUUUUAAAAAUAGCAUAAUAGUUGCUAAAAUAAAAAACCAGAAUCAAUGUUUUAAUUCCCUCUUUUCUCCUCUCAUUAAUUUGUAUAAGUAUAGUGUAUGCAUGCGCAAGCAAAUAUACUUGUUAAGAAAAGUUUUACAUUCACAUGCAUAGUGUGUGCGCAUGCACAAAUGACAGAUUUUAGCAAGCUGAUUGGAUAAUAUAUAUUUUCAGGCACGUGACACAUAGGUGAUCCCUGAAUAGAUUAGAAGUUUUCCCCACAAAAAAAAGAGAGAGAAAAGGAAAAGAAAAGCAGGAAUAGCUCGAAUUUACAAGUAAGAAACGAACAGCGGGGCGCUUGCCAUGAAUAGGCAGUAUGCAUUCAAAACCGCGGUCACCAUGGACGGCCAGCCGGCCACCCCUCGAAAUUAAAGGCUGUGCAUUUCGCAUGCUUCCCCCGAGCCAAAUCGCCCUGCCUGCAUUGCUUCCUGAUCACCCAUUCCUACUCCCGGCCGGGCUCCCGGCCGGCCGGCCGGCAAGCACUACAAGAUGUUGAGCUGGCUCCGUUGUUUCCCGCACGACGGCACCGUCAUGGACGAGGAGAGGAAGCCCAGGCCCGGGAGGAGCGCCACUUUCAGGAAGAAGCAUAGCCCCGAUGCCGCGCCGUCUCGGAAACGGUUCGUCCGGUCGGGCACCUCGCUCACCGCGUCCUCGUCGGCACGAGCCAGCUUCGGCCGCCACUCCGUCGACGUCCCCAACUACAACCACAGCAUCGUCUCGGCGCGCUCCUUCACCUUCCCUGAGCUCGCCGCCGCCACGGACAGCUUCAGCCAUGCCAACCUCAUCGGCGAGGGCGGCUUCGGCCGCGUCUACAGAGGCCUCAUCGGCUCGUCGGCGGUGGCCGUCAAGCAGCUCGACCGCACGGGGUUCCAGGGCGACCACGAGUUCCUCGUGGAGGUGCUGGUGCUGAGCAGCCUCCUGACCCACCCCAACCUCGUCGGCCUCCUGGGCUACUGCGCCGACGGCAACCAGCGGCUCCUCGUCUACCAACUCAUGCCGCUCGGCUCCCUCGAAAAUCACCUCUUCCUCCCCCGAGUCCCAGCGGACGGCGAAGAGAAGCCACCACCGCCGGUUCUGCCGUGGCGGACCAGGAUGAGGAUCGCGCACGACGCCGCCCAGGGCCUGGAGUUCCUCCACGAGACUGCCAACCCGCCGGUGAUCUACCGCGACCUCAAGUCCUCCAACAUCCUCCUCGACGAGGGAUACAACGCCAAGCUCUCCGACUUCGGCCUCGCCAAGCUGGCCACACCGAUCACCCGCAACGGCAAGGGCGGUGACGCGGAGGAGGAGAAGGACGGUUCGUCGAGGGUGAUGGGCACGUACGGUUACUGCGCGCCGGAGUACGUGAGGAAGGGGCACCUGACGGUGAAGUCGGACGUGUACAGCUUCGGCGUGGUGCUGCUGGAGCUCAUCACCGGCAGGCGGGUCAUCGACGAGAGCAGGCCCUCUGGGGAGCAGAACCUCGUGGCCUGGGCGGCGCCCAUGUUCAGCGAGCAGAGGAGGAUGCACGAGCUGGUGGAUCCGCUCCUGGUAGAAGGGCCGAGCGGCAGGGAGCUGAAGCAGGCGGUGGCGGUGGCGGCUAUGUGCUUGCAGGAGGAGGACACCGUAAGGCCCAUCAUGUCGGACGUCGUCAUGGCGCUCAGCUUCGCCGCCGACGACUUACCCUCGGCUCCCAGAUACACGUCACUUUAGCAUAUUACUAUAUCUGGUGGCAUUGGCUAACAUUGUGUGGUUUUUAUCCGGUGGCAUUGGCUAACAUUGUGGGGUUUGCGUCUUACAAAAUGAAAUAAUAAAACAGGGGAUUCGGCUCAGAUUUCAAGUCGCAAACCUUGCAAAAUACCACCGCUAAAUACCAUGAAUUUCCUACAUACUCCCUCCGGUCCGAAAUAUAAGAUCAUUUAGAGAUUUCAAUAUAUACUACAUACAGAGCAAAAUAAGUGAAUAUACGCUCUAAAAUAUGUGUAGUCCGUAUUGAAAUCUCUAAAAGGGCUUAUAUUUAGAAACGGAGGGAGUACAUACAUACAGAAAAUAAAAUAUCGAAGCAUGGCAUAUUAGUUCUUACCACAGGCUGAACAAAAGGAAACUCUUUAAAGACGGGAGACUACAUGUACAGCAACAGACCCUCAGUUCCUGCUAGCUAGCUAGCUAUGCUACAGACUUUUGCCUACAGGCAGGCACAAUGGAGGAGCUUUGCACCCUUCCCUAAAUUCUACUGCCUCCAAAGUGAUCACCAUGAAUCAUUAAAGGAAAAUGGUAGAAAAAGAAAAAAGAACUGCUUCCUAUAUAGAUAGGUACCACUGCGUUCAUUUUCAUCCUUCUUGGAAAGACAGACAUGGAGGGACAGUCAGUCCUGGAUCACAAACAAAACCAGAGGAACCAUUCCACCAAGCGGACAGCAUACAUCUCACACCUCCGCGCCGACCAACCAAUAGCACGGGGGCCUAUGGACGCU